CAGCCGCCACGGUAAUACGAAGGGUGCAAGCGUUAAUCGGAAUUACUGGGCGUAAAGCGUGCGUAGGCGGUGAGUUAAGUCUGCUGUGAAAUCCCCGGGCUCAACCUGGGAAUGGCAAUGGAUACUGGCAAGCUAGAGUGUGUCAGAGGAUGGUGGAAUUCCCGGUGUAGCGGUGAAAUGCGUAGAGAUCGGGAGGAACAUCAGUGGCGAAGGCGGCCAUCUGGGACAACACUGACGCUGAGGCACGAAAGCGUGGGGAGCAAACAGGAUUAGAUACCCCGGUAGUCCCUGUCUCUUAUAC
RNAcentral lists this ribosomal RNA (301 nucleotides) under uncultured bacterium. Its description in RNAcentral is "partial 16S ribosomal RNA". It matches the Rfam family "Bacterial small subunit ribosomal RNA", at positions 509 to 807 of the family's 1533-position model. The record is from RNAcentral.